Molecule: long non-coding RNA, 848 nt
Organism: Bubalus bubalis (water buffalo)
Lineage: Eukaryota; Metazoa; Chordata; Mammalia; Artiodactyla; Bovidae
Exons: 3
Source: RefSeq, a predicted model, not a curated record
UGAGCCGGCACUGGGUUUAGCCCCCACACCCCACCCCGCCUCUCUACCUUCAAGGUACCUCCCCGAUGCUCAGGAAUGCUGCAACUUUCGCACUCCCAGAGCGCCUACUCCCGGGAUGGCCCCUCCUCCCAGCAGCUGGCAGCUGCCGUGGCUCUCACAGGCUGCAGGGCCCAAGAUACAUCUGUGACUCAGCAUGAAGUCGCUGAGCUGGGCUCUCUGAUGAGCAAACGAAGAAUAAAGGUAUCCACAGGACUGGAGGAAAUGGGUGGGGCUGUAAACCAUGCCCAUCAAGGUUCAGUCUCCAGGACCAUCAAUCAGGCAGGCAGGCAGGAGCAGCCCCCGCCCCCGCCCGCUGGAAGGGCCUCCGCACAGCAGGUGGACACGAAGGCUGGGUCCAGAGACCGCUCAGGUGAACAAGACGCCACCACCGCAGGGUGGAAGUUCAUGGUCGCUAUGUGAGGCUCUAGAGCCAAGGAAGACACACGUUCCCCACCCCGGACUCCCAAGAAACAGAGGCUGGAGCUGUGACUCCUUUUUACUACUUUUUCUUUGGCUAUGCUGGGUCUUAGUUGUGGCAUGUGGGAUCUUCCUGGACCAGGGAUGGAACCCGUGUACCCUGCAUUGGAAGACGAAUUCUUAACCACUGGACCACCAGGAAAAGUCCCUCCUUGACUCUCCCCCAGUCCUGGACGCAGGAAUCUGGUUGAAGGGCCCACAGCCUGAGCUGAGGAUUGGAGACUGAUCACCUCCUCUUGGCAGAGCACUCGAAUUCUGGUUCUGGUCUGGUCUGAUUUCUGGGCUUCCCUGGUGGCACAGAGGUUAAAGUGUCUGCCUGCAACGUGAGAGAC